UACGUAGGUGGCGAGCGUUGUCCGGAUUUAUUGGGCGUAAAGGGAGUGUAGGCGGUCUUUUAAGUCUGGUGUGAAAGCCCACGGCUCAACCGUGGAGGGUCAUUGGAAACUGGGAGACUUGAGUGCAGAAGAGGAGAGCGGAAUUCCAUGUGUAGCGGUGAAAUGCGUAGAUAUAUGGAGGAACACCAGUGGCGAAGGCGACUUUCUGGUCUGUAAUUGACGCUGAGGCUCGAAAGCGUGGGUAGCGAACAGGAUUAGAAACCCCUGUAGUCC
RNAcentral lists this ribosomal RNA (273 nucleotides) under uncultured Abiotrophia sp. RNAcentral describes it as "partial 16S ribosomal RNA". It matches the Rfam family "Bacterial small subunit ribosomal RNA", at positions 524 to 796 of the family's 1533-position model. Lineage: Bacteria; Bacillati; Bacillota; Bacilli; Lactobacillales; Aerococcaceae. The record is from RNAcentral.